AUGGUAAUAUCAUCAAAACUCAACAUUCAAAUUAGAGCACACAACCAAAUUUCGAAACUCCAUUCAACAAUGUCAUAUCCCCAAAGUUUCGAUUUCACUGUCAAGGUUCCAACUUACAAACAAACGAACCAACAUCAUUAUAUCCUUAGUUCAACAAGUAAUAUAAACAAUUUCAUUUACAAACCAACACUAGAAAACAAACAUAAUGUCAUCAAUAUUUCACCACCCAAUGUUAUCACAAAACCAACAUAA
This is a non-coding RNA of Vicia faba (fava bean), 252 nucleotides long. The record is from the annotation of a GenBank genome assembly. Lineage: Eukaryota; Viridiplantae; Streptophyta; Magnoliopsida; Fabales; Fabaceae.